Molecule: ribosomal RNA, 429 nt
Filed under: bacterium
Lineage: Bacteria
Description: partial 16S ribosomal RNA
Rfam family: Bacterial small subunit ribosomal RNA
Source: RNAcentral
UAGGGAAUCUUCCACAAUGGACGCAAGUCUGAUGGAGCAACGCCGCGUGAGUGAAGAUGGUUUUCGGAUCGUAAAGCUCUGUUGUUGGUGAAGAAGGAUAGAGGUAGUAACUGGCCUUUAUUUGACGGUAAUCAACCAGAAAGUCACGGCUAACUACGUGCCAGCAGCCGCGAUAAUACGUAGGUGGCAAGCGUUGUCCGGAUUUAUUGGGCGUAAAGCGAGCGCAGGCGGAAGAAUAAGUCUGAUGUGAAAGCCCUCGGCUUAACCGAGGAACUGCAUCGGAAACUGUUUUUCUUGAGUGCAGAAGAGGAGAGUGGAAUUCCAUGUGUAGCGGUGGAAUGCGUAGAUAUAUGGAAGAACACCAGUGGCGAAGGCGACUCUCUGGUCUGCAACUGACGCUGAGGCUCGAAAGCAUGGGUAGCGAACAGG